AGUAACGGCGAGUGAAGCGGCAACAGCUCAAAUUUGAGAUCUGGCCCUCGGGUCCGAGUUGUAAUUUGUAGAGGAUGCUUUUGGUGCGGUGCCUUCCGAGUUCCCUGGAACGGGACGCCAUAGAGGGUGAGAGCCCCGUCUGGUCGGAUACCAAUCCUCUGUAAAGCUCCUUCGACGAGUCGAGUAGUUUGGGAAUGCUGCUCUAAAUGGGAGGUAUAUGUCUUCUAAAGCUAAAUACCGGCCAGAGACCGAUAGCGCACAAGUAGAGUGAUCGAAAGAUGAAAAGCACUUUGAAAAGAGGGUUAAACAGUACGUGAAAUUGUUGAAAGGGAAGCGCUUGUGACCAGACUUGGGCAUGGUUAAUCAUCCAGCGUUCUCGCUGGUGCACUUGGCCUGCCCAGGCCAGCAUCAGUUCGGCGCGGGGGAUAAAGGCUUCGGGAAUGUGGCUCCUCCGGGAGUGUUAUAGCCCGUUGCGCAAUACCCUGCGCUGGACUGAGGUUCGCGCAUCUGCAUGGAUGCUGGCGUAAUGGUCAUCAGCGACCCGUCUUGAAACACGGACCAAGGAGUCGUCCUCGUAUGCGAGUGUUCGGGUGUUAAACCCCUACGCGUAAUGAAAGUGAACGCAGGUGAGAGCUUCGGCGCAUCAUCGACCGAUCCUGAUGUUCUCGGAUGGAUUUGAGUAAGAGCAUACGGGGCCGGACCCGAAAGAAGGUGAACUAUGCCUGUAUAGGGUGAAGCCAGAGGAAACUCUGGUGGAGGCUCGCAGCGGUUCUGACGUGCAAAUCGAUCGUCAAAUAUGGGCAUGGGGGCGAAAGACUAAUCGAACCUUCUAGUAGCUGGUUUCCGCGA
RNAcentral lists this ribosomal RNA (849 nucleotides) under Xenoacremonium recifei. Its description in RNAcentral is "LSU rRNA". It matches the Rfam family "Eukaryotic large subunit ribosomal RNA", at positions 82 to 963 of the family's 3401-position model. Lineage: Eukaryota; Fungi; Ascomycota; Sordariomycetes; Hypocreales; Nectriaceae. The record is from RNAcentral.